RNAcentral lists this transfer RNA (74 nucleotides) under Pyricularia oryzae 70-15. RNAcentral's name for it is "tRNA-Val (CAC) (tRNA-Val-CAC-1-1)". The record is from RNAcentral. Lineage: Eukaryota; Fungi; Ascomycota; Sordariomycetes; Magnaporthales; Pyriculariaceae. RNAcentral also lists the same sequence under 4 other names.
GGUCCUGUGGUGUAGUUGGUUAUCACGUGAGCUUCACACGCUCAAGGUCCUGAGUUCGAGCCUCGGCGGGAUCA